CCUACGGGAGGCAGCAGUGGGGAAUAUUGCACAAUGGGGGAAACCCUGAUGCAGCGACGCCGCGUGAGUGAAGAAGUAUUUCGGUAUGUAAAGCUCUAUCAGCAGGGAAGAAAAAAGACGGUACCUGACUAAGAAGCCCCGGCUAACUACGUGCCAGCAGCCGCGGUAAUACGGAGGAUGCGCGCGUUAUCCGGAUUUAUUGGCGUUAUAGGGUGCGCAGGCGGAGGCACAAGUCAGCGGUAAAAUCGCGGGGCUCAACCCCGCUCCGCCGUUGAAACUGUGUCCCUUGUGUGCGCGCAGGGUAGGCGGAAUGCGUGGUGUAGCGGUGAAAUGCAUAGAUAUCACGCAGAACUCCGAUCGCGAAGGCAGCCUACCGGCGCGCAACUGACGCUCAUGCACGAAAGCGUGGGUAUCGAACAGGAUUAGAUACCCCUGUAGUC
RNAcentral lists this ribosomal RNA (440 nucleotides) under uncultured bacterium. Its description in RNAcentral is "partial 16S ribosomal RNA". It matches the Rfam family "Bacterial small subunit ribosomal RNA", at positions 338 to 795 of the family's 1533-position model. The record is from RNAcentral.